Molecule: ribosomal RNA, 511 nt
Filed under: uncultured bacterium
Lineage: Bacteria
Description: bacterial SSU rRNA
Rfam family: Bacterial small subunit ribosomal RNA
Source: RNAcentral
AACGAACGCUGGCGGCAUGCCUAACACAUGCAAGUCGAACGAGACCUUCGGGUCUAGUGGCGCACGGGUGCGUAACGCGUGGGAAUCUGCCCUCCGGUACGGAAUAACUCAGGGAAACUUGAGCUAAUACCGUAUAAUGACCUCGGUCCAAAGAUUUAUCGCCGGAGGAUGAGCCCGCGUCGGAUUAGCUAGUUGGUAGGGUAAAAGCCUACCAAGGCGACGAUCCGUAGCUGGUCUGAGAGGAUGAUCAGCCACACUGGGACUGAGACACGGCCCAGACUCCUACGGGAGGCAGCAGUGGGGAAUAUUGGACAAUGGGCGAAAGCCUGAUCCAGCAAUGCCGCGUGAGUGAUGAAGGCCCUAGGGUUGUAAAGCUCUUUUACCCGGGAUGAUAAUGACAGUACCGGGAGAAUAAGCCCCGGCUAACUCCGUGCCAGCAGCCGCGGUAAUACGGAGGGGGCUAGCGUUGUUCGGAAUUACUGGGCGUAAAGCGCACGUAGGCGGCUUUGGU